RNAcentral lists this ribosomal RNA (457 nucleotides) under uncultured bacterium. RNAcentral describes it as "bacterial SSU rRNA". It matches the Rfam family "Bacterial small subunit ribosomal RNA", at positions 30 to 507 of the family's 1533-position model. The record is from RNAcentral.
AUUGAACGCUGGCGGCAGGCCUAAUACAUGCAAGUCGAACGGUAACAUAAAAGAAGCUUGCUUCUUUUGAUGACGAGUGGCGGACGGGUGAGUAAUAUUUGGGAAACUACCUGAUAGAGGGGGACAACAGUUGGAAACGACUGCUAAUACCGCAUAAAGCCUGAGGGUGAAAGCAGCAAUGCGCUAUCAGAUGUGCCCAAACGGGAUUAGCUAGUAGGUGAGGUAAAGGCUCACCUAGGCGACGAUCUCUAGCUGGUCUGAGAGGAUGAUCAGCCACAUUGGGACUGAGACACGGCCCAGACUCCUACGGGAGGCAGCAGUAGGGAAUAUUGCACAAUGGAGGAAACUCUGAUGCAGCCAUGCCGCGUGUGUGAAGAAGGCCUUCGGGUUGUAAAGCACUUUCGGAGGGGAGGAAAAGAUGACGUUACCCUCAGAAGAAGCACCGGCUAACUCCGUG